This 497-nucleotide ribosomal RNA is filed under the name uncultured bacterium. RNAcentral's name for it is "partial 16S ribosomal RNA". It matches the Rfam family "Bacterial small subunit ribosomal RNA", at positions 28 to 507 of the family's 1533-position model. The record is from RNAcentral.
GAUGAACGCUGGCGGCGUGCCUAAUACAUGCAAGUCGAGCGAACAGACGAGGAGCUUGCUCCUCUGACGUUAGCGGCGGACGGGUGAGUAACACGUGGAUAACCUACCUAUAAGACUGGGAUAACUUCGGGAAACCGGAGCUAAUACCGGAUAAUAUAUUGAACCGCAUGGUUCAAUAGUGAAAGACGGUUUUGCUGUCACUUAUAGAUGGAUCCGCGCCGCAUUAGCUAGUCGGUAAGGUAACGGCUUACCAAGGCAACGAUGCGUAGCCGACCUGAGAGGGUGAUCGGCCACAAUGGAACUGAGACACGGUCCAGACUCCUACGGGAGGCAGCAGUAGGGAAUCUUCCGCAAUGGGCGAAAGCCUGACGGAGCAACGCCGCGUGAGUGAUGAAGGUCUUCGGAUCGUAAAACUCUGUUAUUAGGGAAGAACAAAUGUGUAAGUAACUAUGCACGUCUUGACGGUACCUAAUCAGAAAGCCACGGCUAACUACGUG